ACUUAAGAGAGGAGGAAUGGAGUGCUGUGGUGGUAGGAAUAACAUCUACAAUUGAAUGCUUCUUGUCAUGGAAAUUUCUGGUUGUUUGCUUCAUGUUAUUUUUGAAGAUGUGGCUAACUCUGAAUAGACAGUGCAGCCAAUCACAUCCAGAACUGUGCAUCUCGUCCUCCCAAGUUUACCUUGCCAAUUUCGUGAGCCAGUUGCAAAAGAGGAUGCAUCACCACAGUGCAGCAUUUUAUCAUUCACAAAGCUUAUGGCAUCUCAAAGCUUUCUUUUCUCUGCAAGGAAGAAUUGAAAGUAAGACCUUUGAGAUAUUGGAAGAGUUGGCUUGUGAAAAAGAGCAGGAAAAAAAACCCAAACAAACAUAUGUUCAUGAAUAUGAUUAUACCUACAGUGAACCUCAGGGCCAGGACCACAGAGCUCGUUGAACCUGCUGUUCCCCUUCAUGUGCAUCAGUGCUUUGUGUGGUCUACAGAACACCUGUAGCUCAGUAUAAUAAACCCUACAGGCUUUGAAAGACUUCUGGAGCUUAGAUGACCUGCAGAUCCAUCUGCCUUUAUAUUUUGCAGAGUUAUGUAUCUUCUUAGGAGAGUCCUUUUGCCUGACUUGCUUGUAUUAUGUUGCUGCAGGGCAGCUGGUAUUUGAUAAUUGUACAAUCCAGACCUCAACGUACUCUAACUCAGUAGGGCUUCAGCUAAGUUUCACAUCUACAGCAUGCCCCAAAUCUCAAUUAAAGUUCAUGGUAAACAUAUAACUCAUGUCCAAACAGCGUGGGCCUGUGAGUACCUGCACAGUUUAGCGUGAAUAAUAGUAUAACAGAAAAGUUGAUGUUAGGAAUUCAGAUUCUUUAGGAGACCUUUGAUAUGUAUCCUGUACGUUGACUGUACUGGAAAUUUCUACUGCUACUGUCACUAGAAUAUCCUACAGUUGCAUGUCAUUUUGUUGUGCACCUUCACACAAACAUAGGAAGCCUGCACUGCUAUCAUCUUGCAAGAAUGCUGACAGGGUUGGAUAACUUUGCUUUACGCCAUGAUUCCAUUCAUCCUUUCUGGCUGCAGGUGUCUUAGGAGGUGGUGGUUCAUCUUGUCUCCUUGGGCACUGUGUACUUCGUACCUUUCUCAGAAUUGCACUUGACAUUUCAAUGUUCAAAACUUUAGUAUACGUGGCAUGUCGUGUUGAUUUUCACACUUGAGUUGGAAAUCAAGAAAAGUUCAAUGUUUCCCACCCCAAAGAAACCAAAUGUUUCAAAGAACUGAGCCUGAAAAUAAAUUCAAAACUUUUCAUGACAUGAAAAAUAUGAGGCAGAGUGAAUAAUUUAAAAACAGUGCAAUGCAAUAUUUUGUAAAGCAAGCAAACAAACAAACCCCAGCAUAUACCAUGCAGUAUUGAUAACCUUGGCAGACAGACAAAAGCCCCAUCACAAAAAAAAGAGAACUUCUAAAAGCAUAGAAAAAUGUUAACAGUUGGCCAGCUGUUAGGGAAAAAAAACCUUAUCCAAGUUCUAAACACUAAGCUGCAAGGAAGCAAGGCUCUUAAUGUGUCUGCAGCAGGGAAGCUGAGCACAAACAUAAAAUCGGUGCCAGUGGAAUAUUCCCUAAGGGCAAAGCCCUGUUUUAUCAUCUAAUCGCUAAUCUGAAGCUGUGUGAGUACAAAUGUGGCAACUGGAUAUACCUGUUUUUGUCAGCCUCUCUCCAGCCAGACUAAGUCAAGCCUUAGACUAAUUCAGUUACUCCGAGAUAAAUUCUGGCAGUAGCGAGUUUCCUCUGCACUGUAUCUGCUUCUUUCCUGGAGUGACGGGGCUGAGUGGGACAUUGUAUAAUUCCUCCUCUUUGUGUCUCACCACCACUGUUUCUUAGAAUUAAGGAAAAAAAAACAAACAAACAACCAAGCAUCCAAGUGAUAAAUUUUGUAUCAAGAUCUGUGGAACACAGAGAAACUCCGCUCCAGCUGGGAAAACAGAGUCAUUGCCAAGACUAAGAGAAAUGAGGUGACUUUACCCAUAAAUCCCAAGCAAUCUUUAUCUCUUAGACAUGAUAGCUAACGAAUAACCAUUUGUUUACAAAUAGCUAUAUCAUUUUCUGGUAGUUGGAAUUUUCUAAAGCUGGAUCAUAUUUACUUCCUUCUGAAGCCUUCCAUUGAAACUCUACAAGAUUUCACUUUAACUAUCUGAUGUCUUUAAAAAUCAAAUCCACCUUAAUUCCUUUGGGUAUCGUGUUAGGUAGAAUUUCUUUCAGAUCUUGCAAAAAAGUCUAGGAACUUCUUAUGAGUUUUUUUAAUAUUUAAUUGUAAGUCAUUUUAAAUAAAAUACGUGAAUUUCCUUUAGCUCAGUGGCUUCAUUAUCUUUUGCAGAUGGGAUAAGUAAGGAUAAGUAAUUUUUCCUAAAACUUUGAGCUAUCAUACAACUGACAAGUUUUCAAGAUGGCAAACGAUGAUGAAUGCUUCCUGAUUAUUAGAGCUGCUAAGCCAUGAGAAAUAAAACCAAAAUUUUAUUGAACCACUGAGCAUCAAGAGAAAACUGUUUAUCCAAAUGAAAUUUAUGGAUUUCAAGAGUUUUUAAAGCUUUGUUCCUCUUUGAACUAUUUUGUUUUGGGAUCUCUUUUUUUUUUUUUAGGGUAAAGAAAAUGUUUAUCAAUAAAAAUAAAAUUCCUUCUGAAGGACAUGGAAUUUCACUCCUUGAACCACCACCAUCCAUUGUAAAGUCUUUUUUUAUUUUAUCUCUACAUCCCUUUUUUUUUUUUUGUUGCCUUCUGAAGACAAAAUCUCUCUAGUCAAGUAUUAGUGAGAUAACAAGGGGCUGUAUUUUAAAAAGCAUAGUUGAAUUGGUUGCUGUGACAAAAAUUCAAGUUUUCACAUUUGAAAAAGAAACUACUAAAGAGAAUUUUCCCCCAGAACCUCUUAAGGAAUGUGCCAGAACUAAACCAGCAUCCUUUCUUGAAUUACUAGAAAACCUGAGCCACGAAAUUUCAUCUCAAGAAAUUACUAAGAAUUCUUUCUGCUAUGACAAGUAAUACAUUCUAAACUAGUUAUCGUUAAACUGGUCCAACGAUGCAAAUGGUAUCCUCCAAUAUAUCUGUAUAUUUACUUUUAGUAAAAUUAAAAUUUGUGAUUUUAACUUUCCAGCUUUUCUGAACUUCCACUUGAGGGCAUGUAUGGCCAAGAUGGUUCUACAGCCUUUCAAUUUACAUCUCCCCUGUCUGCUACUCAUGAAUCAUAGACUUGUUCUUCAGCCAUCCUGCCCUACCCAAUUCAAUUAAACUUAAUUUUGGCUCUCUGAAUCAGCCUUCUAUUCUCUUAGUAUUUGCCCACAAUCAGCUAUACCAAUUAACAAAUUUCUGCUCAGAUUAUUUUUUUUUCCAUCAUUUUAGAAUUGUUAUGGCAAUCAGGGUUUGAUUCCUUUCUUUUCCCUUGAGACUUCUUUCAAUUCUCCUUUGUCUUCCAAGGAAAUUUUCCAAUUUCCACUCAUAAAAAUACAUAUAUAUAUGUAUAUACAUAUAUAUAUAUAUAUAUAUAUAUUUUUUUUUUUGAAAGAGGGAAAGGGAGGAGCAUUACUUCUUCGCAGUGCCGCAGGAUUUCUUGCUAGUGAAUGUUUUUCUAGUUCAUUCUGAGGUAUGGCAACACGGACAGGGCUAAGAACAAGAGAUAUUUUGGUUUGCCAUCUAACUUCUCUGUCUUCUCAUAUGUGGGUGUACAUGUGUCUGUAUAAUAUGGAAAUGCAUGCUUUAUAUAUGCAUGUGCUGUAUAUACAGAUGCAUACCUUUGUGCUAAAAUGCGCUCCUACACAGGACUGAGUGAAUUUUUAAUGAAACAUGGAGAUUAGGUUUAAUAUUUUCUUGUGUUCUUUGCUUUAGUGCAUUCUGCAGGUGUACUUGCAAUGUACUAAUUAUUUGGUAAACAGAAGAAGAAGCUUCUCAACUUGGCAUUCUUGAAGUUAUGUUGUUCAGAAAGAGUGAUUGAAAGGCAAUACAAUCUGCUUGUACAUAUUUAGUGCUCCCAUCUCUCUGAGUUAUGUCAUUGGAUACAGGUUUCUUUAGUAGGAUUCAGAUCUUACAUAAGAGCUUGAACUGCUAUGUUGUUGUGACCUGAAAAAAAUAAAUAAAAAUAAAAAUCAGCCAUUAGAUGUCAUAGGGCCAGUGUAGGAUCAUGAGACUAUUUAGAACUUUCAUCUGAUUGUUGGCACUGCACUGGAAGGUGCAGCCGUAAAAAUCAAAAUGCAUAUGUAAACAACUCCAAGUCGUUAGCCAUAUUGUUUGAAAAAGUAAUGUUUACUGACUUGCAUUUGUUUUGCUGUAGCUUAUCUUGGAUUCUGAAAAAAUCUUAACAGAUUCUUGAAUAUUACACCCUUAUAUGAGUGAAGGGAACAGUUACAGCAGUAAUGGUAAGAAAUGUUCUUUAAACAGUAGAUAAAAUUUGUUAUUUUUGGCAUAAAUUAAUGACAAUGUGAUGAGAGUUAAGAGGAAACGUGUAGCAUGAACUAGUUAUUGCAUUUUUAUUCAAUACUUUGAGCAAUUUAUUUUCUUUUGAAGAGCAUUUGGCACUGGGCGCUGUCACGGCAUUAGAGAAGGAGGCCUAUUGGUCUUAUCUAGGAUGUCAGUUCCUAAUAUUCUUGUAAUUUCCUUUGGAAAAGACAGAAGAGAAGUGCCCAAUAAAGUAAACACACAAGUAAUUGUUCCAGAGCACUUAUUGUAGGGUUAGCAGAAUGAGUAACCUGCCUUGCUUAUAAAAUCUGUAUAAACGUAGAAAAAUAUGUAAAAUGUAAUGUUUCUUAUUAGAAAGUAAUAGAAAUGGAAAUUGAUUUCAUAGAAAGCAAACAAAAUACUGUUUUUUUCUGUAACAUUUUUUGUUGUUGUGAGACAUCAGUAUAAUAGUAUCAUUGCAAACAGCAGGUGUCUUGCUGUUGCUUGGUUCAAAGAAGAUAGGGGUUUUCUCAGUAUCAGGUCUGCUUAGGUUAAUGUACAGCUACUUUAUCUCUAAUUAUAGCUGUUUAGUUUUUUGACUACCUUCCAGACAAAGCUCUUGCCUCACUGAAAACGUUCACUAGAUCAAUUCAAGUAGACUAUGUCUUCAGGAACAUACCCUCUAGCUCUCAGACUUGCAUUCUGUUUUUAAGUGUGCUAAAUUCUGCUUCAGUGGAGCACUGUUUAUCAUAUGUUGAGCUGUGAACUGACUUUCAUGAGAACACAAGGUAAUUUAAGAGAUAUUACCGCUCAGGGCUUGAAUUCUGAAUACCUUCACAUGUACCCAGGAGGAUAUGAGAGCUCAGGUUUCACAUGCUGGCUCAAGAGGGCCAGAAUUUAUACUCUAGAAACCAGAUUUCAAAUGGGCUGGGUACAGGUAGAUCAAAGGAAAGUAUGUUUUGGAGGUUGAGAAUGGAUUAAGCUGCUGAUGAAGUAGUAAAAAUACAAUCUCUCAGAUUGCUGCUGGUCUCAGAUUUCAAUGCUUUUCUGCAGCUGAGAGUUCUCUUCAUACAAAAUGAGCUGAAUAGCUGAACAGAUAAGAUCAUUGACUAUGAGUGAAUGUGAUUUACUGUAUGAGGGAUAAUAUUGUUUCUUAGAGUUGAGUGCAAAAGUUAAACUGUCCAAAAGGACAAUGACAGUUUAGCAGCCCAGUUUUUUUCCCCUGGCAUUUGAAUCUCAUGUUUCAGAAUUAAAUCAUUCACUCUAAAAAAUGUUCCUCUAGCUUUUUCUAAAAUAUUCCAUCAAGCACAAAUAUGCAAUAAGCAAUGAUGUAGUAUAGUUUAAAUGUAAACAGGGACAACCCCGUGGCUCCCAUUGUAAGUAUUCCAGUCCUAACUGGGACAGCUGGAACUACGCUGAUACAGAACUCAGUGAAGGACCUCACUUGAUGCUGAAGAUGGCAUGGAGAGACUUCAGCUAAGUCAGACUCACUCCUGUUCUGAACCAGGAAUUCUGAUUAUGCAACAGUCACCAUUGUAAAGAACAGACGUGA
Long non-coding RNA from Gallus gallus (chicken), 5946 nucleotides. RefSeq lists it as uncharacterized. The record is from RefSeq and is a predicted model, not a curated record. Lineage: Eukaryota; Metazoa; Chordata; Aves; Galliformes; Phasianidae. The transcript is spliced from 5 exons.